AUGGAGCUUUUCUAUCGACCAGAUGUAUUGACCAUGAACCAAACGCAAAGAAGUGGAUCAGGGGUGAGAUGCAUAUGCAUUCUGGGGGGCUUGCUCCAGUGCCCGGCACCAGAGGGGCAGGACAUCUAUUUCUCAGUCGUCCUUGUUGGCAUCUGUUUCCACCUUCCAGGGGCUGAUCCAUCCUUGCACUCAAGGCAUGAGCAAUGAGACUCACAAGGACUAGGCCUUAAUGCUUAAGGCCAUUAAUUCAAGACAACCAACGCCAGCAGCACACGAGCAUUCAGAAGCGAGAUUCUGAGUUCUUUCCAACCCGCACGUCGACUUCAAG
RNAcentral lists this long non-coding RNA (328 nucleotides) under Vulpes vulpes (red fox). RNAcentral describes it as "lncRNA (ENSVVUG00000008113.1)". Lineage: Eukaryota; Metazoa; Chordata; Mammalia; Carnivora; Canidae. The record is from RNAcentral.